GACGGGGGGGGCCAGUGUUCUUCGGAAUGACUGGGCGGAAAGGGCACGUAGGCGGUGAAUCGGGUUGAAAGUGAAAGUCGCCAAAAAGUGGCGGAAUGCUCUCGAAACCAAUUCACUUGAGUGAGACAGAGGAGAGUGGAAUUUCGUGUGUAGGGGUGAAAUCCGUAAAUAUACGAAGGAACGCCAAAAGCGAAGGCAGCUCUCUGGGUCCCUACCGACGCUGGGGUGCGAAAGCAUGGGGAGCGAACAGG
Molecule: ribosomal RNA, 251 nt
Filed under: uncultured bacterium
Lineage: Bacteria
Description: partial 16S ribosomal RNA
Rfam family: Bacterial small subunit ribosomal RNA
Source: RNAcentral